GGAUUAGAUACCCUGGUAGUCCACGCCGUAAACGAUGGUUACUAGCUGUUCGGUCGCAAGACUGAGUGGCUAAGCGAAAGUGAUAAGUAACCCACCUGGGGAGUACGUUCGCAAGAAUGAAACUCAAAGGAAUUGACGGGGGCCCGCACAAGCGGUGGAGCAUGUGGUUUAAUUCGAUGAUACGCGAGGAACCUUACCAGGGCUUAAAUGUAGAGUGACAGGUCUAGAGACAGACUUUUCUUCGGACACUUUACAAGGUGCUGCAUGGUUGUCGUCAGCUCGUGCCG
Molecule: ribosomal RNA, 287 nt
Filed under: uncultured bacterium
Lineage: Bacteria
Description: partial 16S ribosomal RNA
Rfam family: Bacterial small subunit ribosomal RNA
Source: RNAcentral